This 451-nucleotide ribosomal RNA is filed under the name uncultured archaeon. Its description in RNAcentral is "bacterial SSU rRNA". It matches the Rfam family "Archaeal small subunit ribosomal RNA", at positions 996 to 1448 of the family's 1478-position model. The record is from RNAcentral.
GCCCGUCGUCAGUUCGUACUGUAAAGCGUUCUGUUAAGUCAGAUAACGAACGAGACCCUCAUCUCUAUUUGCUACCUGGUUCUCCGGAACCAGCGCACUAUAGGGAGACCGCUGGUGUGAAACCAGAGGAAGGGGAGGGCAACGACAGGUCAGUAUGCCCCGAAUGUCUUGGGCUACACGCGCGCUACAAAGGGCAGGACAAUGGGAUGCUAGGCCGAGAGGCAUUCAAGCUAACCCGAAACCUGUUCAUAGUUCGGAUUGAGGGCUGUAACUCGCCCUCAUGAAGCUGGAUUCCGUAGUAAUCGUGUUUCAAUAUAGCACGGUGAAUAUGCCCCUGCUCCUUGCACACACCGCCCGUCAAACCAUCUUAGUUGGGGGUGGGUGAGGCUGCGCUUUAUGGCGUAUUCGAGCCUGCCUUCGACAAGGAGGGUUAAGUCGUAACAAGGUAACC